GGGCCAAUACUGACACUGAGGAGCGAAAGCGCGGGGAGCGAACAGGAUUAGAUACCCUGGUAGUCCGCGCCGUAAACGAUGGGCGCUAGUUGUGGGGACCUUCCACGGUUUCUGCGACGCAGCUAACGCAUUAAGCGCCCCGCCUGGGGAGUACGAUCGCAAGAUUAAAACUCAAAGGAAUUGACGGGGACCCGCACAAGCAGCGGAGCAUGCGGCUUAAUUCGACGCAACGCGAAGAACCUUACCAAGGCUUGACAUAUAGCGAAAAGCGGCAGAGAUGUCGUGUCCGCAAGGGCGCUAUACAGGUGGUGCAUGGUUGUCGUCAGCUCGUGUCGUGAGAUGUUGGGUUAAGUCCCGCAACGAGCGCAACCCUCGUUCUGUGUUGCCAGCAUUUAGUUGGGGACUCACAGGAGACUGCCGUGGUUAACACGGAGGAAGGUGGGGAUGACGUCAAAUCAUCAUGCCCCUUAUGUCUUGGGCUGCACGCAUGCUACAAUGGCCGAUACAAAGGGCUGCAAUACCGUGAGGUGGAGCGAAUCCCAUAAAGUCGGUCUCAGUUCGGAUUGAGGUCUGCAACUCGACCUCAUGAAGUCGGAGUUGCUAGUAAUCGUAGAUCAGCAACGCUACGGUGAAUACGUUCCCGGGUCUUGUACACACCGCCCGUCACGUCACGAAAGUCGGUAACACCCAAAAGUCAGUGGCCCAACC
Molecule: ribosomal RNA, 708 nt
Filed under: uncultured Actinomycetes bacterium
Lineage: Bacteria; Bacillati; Actinomycetota; Actinomycetes
Description: bacterial SSU rRNA
Rfam family: Bacterial small subunit ribosomal RNA
Source: RNAcentral